GUGCAAACUCGAUCACUAGCUCUGCCUGAUGUGGCAGAAGCUAAGGGAACCAGAUUUGCUAAAGUAAUUAUGGUGAUAGAAAUGUACUAGCCUCAGAUGUUACUGAGGUUGGCCAUUCUAUCUUAGUACAGUG
Microcebus murinus (gray mouse lemur) is the source of this 133-nucleotide small nucleolar RNA. Lineage: Eukaryota; Metazoa; Chordata; Mammalia; Primates; Cheirogaleidae. The record is from Ensembl.